GUGGAUAUAGCUCAGUGGUAGAGCACAUGCUUAGCAUCCACCAGGGCCUGGGAUCAAUCCCCAGUACCUCCA
Molecule: transfer RNA, 72 nt
Filed under: Camelus bactrianus (Bactrian camel)
Lineage: Eukaryota; Metazoa; Chordata; Mammalia; Artiodactyla; Camelidae
Also listed under: 1 other name
Rfam family: tRNA
About the family: Transfer RNA (tRNA) molecules are approximately 80 nucleotides in length. Their secondary structure includes four short double-helical elements and three loops (D, anti-codon, and T loops).
Source: Rfam by way of RNAcentral